RNAcentral lists this transfer RNA (98 nucleotides) under Longimycelium tulufanense. RNAcentral's name for it is "tRNA-Pro". The record is from RNAcentral. Lineage: Bacteria; Bacillati; Actinomycetota; Actinomycetes; Pseudonocardiales; Pseudonocardiaceae.
GCUUCCGCGUGGUGAACGUUGCGGUGCAGGGCGCCAUGGCGGUGCCGCAGGUGGUGGACGCGCUCAACAUGCUCGAUGCCGAUCCCGAGGUGGACGUG